UGCCAGCUUUCAAAUAUUGGUGGGUAGGCUUU
This 32-nucleotide non-coding RNA is filed under the name Mus musculus (house mouse). The record is from RNAcentral. Lineage: Eukaryota; Metazoa; Chordata; Mammalia; Rodentia; Muridae.